Camelus dromedarius (Arabian camel) is the source of this 2712-nucleotide long non-coding RNA. RefSeq lists it as uncharacterized. Lineage: Eukaryota; Metazoa; Chordata; Mammalia; Artiodactyla; Camelidae. The record is from RefSeq and is a predicted model, not a curated record. The transcript has 3 exons.
CCUGGCCGAGGUCAGCGCGCCCUCUGCGUUUCUCCGUGGUCUGGACGGAGGGCCGGCUUCCGCGUACUUCCUCUGCUUCCUCAGGUUUGCCCGGGUUCUUAGCUGAAAGAACCGCGUUAAGGACUGGGCACUGGGACACAGUUGGAAACAUCGGUUAUAUUAUCAAAGCUUUGCCUGGAAUAUCAGAUUUGAGAAUGUGCAUAGAAUCAAACAUGUCAGAAAGUUUUAGGGAACUAAUGAUGACAUUAUGAAGUCAAAAGCCCCUUGGAAGAACAGCCUGGUCUUUUGCUUACAGGGAUUCUGACAGCCUAACCAGGUGAGUAAGGAAAAUCACUUCUCAGUAAGGCAGGAACUUCAAAGACAUUUUGGAGACCUCCAGAAGAGAGGAAUUCACCCAAAUCCAUGGGCAUUGCCUGCAAAGACUGAUGGAUAGGCCUAACUUUGGGAGCCCACCUGCUCACCCACCUCCUAAAAUGAGACACAACUGUUUUACUGAACGGACUUAUUCUCAAGACAGACUGAUUCAGUAAGGUAUGGAGCAGUCUAUCGAUCUGAGCUUCUGAACUGUGAAACUUCUUUACAGUCUCGAAGAUAGGACUGAAAGAAAAGAAAAUAUACCACCCCCAAAUAUGCCUCUUUGUCAUAUGGAUUAUUUUAAGCUGUUUGUUUGUAAGAAACAGUUGUUUCUAAAGUUUCUAGAGUUUUCGUCCUCCCCCUCUUCCUGGUACAGUAAAGAAGGCACCCUGACAACUGGGGAUUUCCCUUAGAAUUGUGAAUAUCUCUUACAAGAGGGUAACCUCUACUCUGUUUUCAGAGCUUCACCUGUGUCUGCUGUUUCUCAAAAAUAACAAGCCCAAGAUAAUCUUAUGCCAAAGGGGCAUAUUUGAGGGUGGCAUAUUCUGCUCAUUUUCAUGUAGAAACUAUACCUCAAAAAAGCUGAUCUUUUUUAAACAUGUGUUUCAGGAAACCAGAAGGUGUAGUCAGAAAGGAAAGUGCAUCAUUUGUUGGGCAGGAUCUGGACACACUGAGUGUGCAAGGAGGAUGAGUUCUCAAGGAGAGAGGCUCUCUAGGCUCCUGGAAAUGUGCCUGGACUUCAGGGUUUCCUAUCUCGAAGCCACCUGGAAAGGGAUGACACUGAAUGCACUCUUUUGAGAAUGAGGGUACCGGGGAGAAGCUGUGAGGAACUGUUACAAUUGUGAGGCACUGGCAUAACAAAGAAGGGGGAAGGGUGGGAGACAGUGGAGAGGAAACAAAUUAACACUGUGCCCUGGAUACCAGGGAGAGUGGGCCAACAUGUUAAAGGAGACAGAAGAGUCACAGACUUGUUUCAAGUUGAGCACUAGAAUUCUCCUUCUCAGUGAACAAGACCAUUCCAGAUAUAAAAUCGUUUAUUUAAUUCUGACUUGAAAUGUGGCUGAGGUGCCCUCUGGUGGUAGUAUCCAAAACCAAAUGUAUACAUAUCAAAUUGUUGAGAAAUAGAUGGCAUCAGCUCUAGUUUUUAUGAGCAUUGACUGUUAGGAGUAAAUCUAAUUAACUUGGAAAAAUCCACUACACUUAGCUAGCAUUUUCUAAAAUAAAGGGCUUGACAGACUUCCAUUUCCUGUCAAGAGAGAGUAACAGGGAUCAGAUUUACCCUCUGUUAAAAACAAGACAAUAGGCCCCAAGUGGAGUCACUUAUACUAAGCUCAAACCAAGCCUUAAUUACAACUUUGGCUUUCACAGAAAUAGAAUCCUAAGCCAGUCAUACAGGCAUUGCCUGAUGAGCAUUAGUUAAGUAAACUGCCUGAUCCAGCCUUGCCAUCCCCCUCAGGGAAGGAAACCUUACAAUGACCAGUCUGCUUUUUUGCCUAUAUAACUUCCAUGUCCCUGCUCCCUUCUGCCUAUAAAAGUCUUUCACUUUGUACAGCUCCUUGGAGCUCUUUUCUUAUCUGCUAGAUUAGAAUCAUAUUCAUGGAUCAUUGAAUAAAACCAAUAAAAAAUUUUUAAAACUUACUUAGCUGAAUUUUAUAUUUUAACAGUUCCCACUGGAAACGAAUUUAAAAAAUCAUACAAAAAAUAUGGAAAUUAUGUUUGACAUAAUGAUUUUCAGAAAUUGGACAUCAGGCAGCACAGGGCAGAGAUCCCUCAAAACAGAAAACAAAUCAGGUGAGGCCUCUGAUUGUCCUGGAGAACGUUUCCAGGCUGCAGCUUAGGGACAAAUAACUCAGUCAGAGCUCUGCAGCCCUUGUGAGUACAGAAACAGAGCCAGGAGUCCAGGAAGGGCAAAAUAGCUAGACUCUACAGGGACAAAUACUAGAAAGGAGAAAACAACAUGGGGGGGGAGCUCCAAAGAUCUGUAGAGGGUCCUGUUCAGUCUUCAGCUGAGAUUGCAUGUUUAUGAGGAAACUGCCCAACACCAGGAAAGAACCGCCUGGGAGGAGCAGAGGGAACAAUCCCUAGAACUCACAAAGAACAAUUCUCACCAGCCAGGGGGGAAAUCCUUGUAAUCCACGAGACACCAGAUAAAGCACACUGUAGUGGGGGCAAAACUAUCCCUAGAGUAAAAGUUGCUCUAGUCCUGACUAGAAAAGCUCAAAAGAAAGCUUCAAAGGUAUCAAACUAUUUCCAAGUAACUUGUCUGUGUCCCAGAAAAAUGUCAAGAAUAUUUAAUAGGAACAAAAAUACAGUCAGCCCCCAACAAGGCAGCAUUCACAAUGUCUGGCAUCCAACCAA